CCCCUUCUUUUCCAAGGAAAAGUUGGGGUUUUUUGUUUGCUUUGCAAGGUCUUCAUUACUUCCUCAGCUCUCAGCAGACCCUGCUCUCAGACCUACAUUGUGGAAGCCGGGACAGCAUUGAGCAGGGACAGCAGCCUGCUCUCCCUCCCCUCAGAGGCAGGGGUUCUGCGGCCACCCAGGAGGAGGUGGCUCUGGUGAGAGAGUUGCUGGCUGGGCCUAGCCCCUCUCCUCAGUGGCAGGCAGCCUUGGGUCCCCUAAGGCAGACAGAACUCCGCCUGGGCCUUUUCUGCCCUUUGCUGCUGCAGCUUCUUCCUGGCUGAGGACAGAGGUCAAAUGCUCAGACACCCACGUGUAUACACAGCACCCAUGUGCCCUGCACCUGCACACAGUGCACAUUGUGGCCGUGCUCCUCAAACUCAGGUGCACCAGAAUCACCUAGAAGCUUAGGGGGAUGUGAGGCUCCACUGCUUUCUGAUACUGUUGGUCUGGUGAGGAUGUGUAUUCUGAGCACAGGCCCAGGCACCGCUGCUGCUGCUGCUGCUGCUGUUGUCAGGCUCUGAGAACUGCUGCUCCGGAGAUGUCCACAUGUGCACGCGUAAAAGGCACUGUCAUGCACAGCAAAUUCUGCAGAACAGCAAGAGGAGCGAGGCACCUCCAAAGCUGUGGACCGGUCUUAGGGAUUCCUCGGCCUAAGAACGCAUCGUUGCAAUAUGCCUGCAGCAGAGCCUCCAGGCCCAUGUUCAAAGGAUGA
RNAcentral lists this long non-coding RNA (751 nucleotides) under Fukomys damarensis (Damara mole-rat). RNAcentral describes it as "lncRNA (ENSFDAG00000026385.1)". Lineage: Eukaryota; Metazoa; Chordata; Mammalia; Rodentia; Bathyergidae. The record is from RNAcentral.